This 458-nucleotide ribosomal RNA is filed under the name uncultured Pseudomonas sp. RNAcentral describes it as "bacterial SSU rRNA". It matches the Rfam family "Bacterial small subunit ribosomal RNA", at positions 925 to 1382 of the family's 1533-position model. The record is from RNAcentral. Lineage: Bacteria; Pseudomonadati; Pseudomonadota; Gammaproteobacteria; Pseudomonadales; Pseudomonadaceae.
ACAAGCGGUGGAGCAUGUGGUUUAAUUCGAUGCAACGCGAAGAACCUUACCUACUCUUGACAUCCAGAGAACUUAGCAGAGAUGCGUUUGGUGCCUUCGGGAACUCUGAGACAGGUGGUGCAUGGUGUCGUCAGCUCGUGUCGUGAGAUGUUGGGUUAAGUCCCGCAACGAGCGCAACCUUGUGUUUAGUUGCAAACAGGUCAAGCUGUGCACUCUAGACAGACUGCCGUGGACAACACGGAGGAAGGUGGGGGAUGACGUCAAGUCAUCAUGGCCCUUACGGCCUGGGCUACACACGUGCUACAAUGGUCGGUACAAAGGGUUGCCAAGCCGCGAGGUGGAGCUAAUCCCAUAAAACCGAUCGUAGUCCGGAUCGCAGUCUGCAACUCGACUGCGUGAAGUCGGAAUCGCUAGUAAUCGUGAAUCAGAAUGUCACGGUGAAUACGUUCCCGGGCCUU